UUGGGGCUUCCAUCCUCAUUAGCGUCGGAGGUGGAAGAGUUUUUUUUGAUGAUAUGGGAGGUUGUAUACUCCGUCGAGGCACUCCCUUGAAUCCGACGAUGGUGUGCGUGCGAUAUGUGAUGGCGGGAUAUUCUCUCCAUCUUACAACCUAAUAAUUCCUAUAACCUGAAAUUUAAUUUUCAAAUUCAUUUUACGUGAUGCAAGUUGAUACGGCUGGAGGAACGUAGCAGAAAUGUUUGGUCAAACACAACAUACUUUGGUAAGAGAACAUGUCUUGGGUGCAUCUAGAUGUACCUACCAUAAAUUCCAUCAUACUUUGUAUUUUUUGAAAUUAAAAAUUAUGAUUUUAGACAACUGGUGAUGAAAUUUAACAACAUUUCUUAGAUCACAUAUCUAAAAGAAAUUCAAUUGGAGUACAUUACAAUUUUCAAUUUCAAGGUUUUCUAAUUUUCUGAAAACUAAAUCUUUGCAAUUUGAACUUUUGAUCUUUUUAACAAUAAAACAUUGACUAACAAAAUUAGCUUUAAGAUCUAAAACUUUUGAAUUAAGGAAAUAUGUAAGGACCAGUUUGAUAUUAUUGAUUUUUUUGUCUUUUUGUUUCUUGGCAAAUUAGUGAAAUAUUAUAUGGAGAUUGAUGUUGAAGAUUGUAUUUGUAUAAAACUUAUAUUAUUCAUAUCUUUUAUUUCACUUUUUUUUGGAAGCAAUAAUUAUGUUCUUUCAAAAAUUUUACAGAUUUUACAAAUAAUUACAAAAAAUAAAAUAUAUGUUUGGUCUAGUUAAUUUUUUUCUUGGAUUCAUGAAAACAAAAUAGAAAACAAGAAACAAUGCCAAACAGUCCUUAAAAUAAUGUUUUGAAUUUUUUUGAGAAAGUUAUAAUGACUUUUUGAAAUUUCAAACAUCUAAACAAAGCCAUAAUAAUUUAGAUCUAUUCCUAAAAGAUAAAUCCAAGAAUCUGCAUUCUUUCUGCAAUGGAUGCAGUCCUUAUAAGCAUUUCACACACACACACACACACACAUCAACACUUACUGCUUGCGGCUAAAAGGUGUAGAGAGGUGUAGAGAGCCUGG
RNAcentral lists this long non-coding RNA (1067 nucleotides) under Elaeis guineensis (African oil palm). Its description in RNAcentral is "long non-coding RNA (EGUI_LNC003602)". The record is from RNAcentral. Lineage: Eukaryota; Viridiplantae; Streptophyta; Magnoliopsida; Arecales; Arecaceae.